This 555-nucleotide ribosomal RNA is filed under the name Triticum aestivum (bread wheat). RNAcentral describes it as "partial small subunit ribosomal RNA". Lineage: Eukaryota; Viridiplantae; Streptophyta; Magnoliopsida; Poales; Poaceae. The record is from RNAcentral.
AUGGAGCUCAAGCCAUGCACCACGGUCGGCAUGGAUAAGAGUCGGGAAUAUUUGAUCAAUAAGGUGUUGCCGGCAAUCAAGGAGAAGUGGCCGCAAGAGGAUCGAUGGAAGCCAAUCUUCAUCCAACAGGACAACGCAAAGACACAUGUUCGACCUGAUGAUCCGGCAGUUCUUGCAGCAGCUCAUGAAGGUGGUUGGGACAUUAGGGUCGUGAUGCAGCCGCCUAAUUCUCCGGAUACUAAUGGGUUAGACCUUGGCAUCUUCAACUCUCUUCAGUCCGUAUUUGAAAAGAAGAUGCCACAAAAUCUUCAUGAGAUUCUCACGAAAGUGGAUGAGACAUGGGAUGAGCAUGAUGCAAACAAGUCCAACCGUGUGUUCCUUACCCAUCAGGCUGUCAUGCGGGAAAUACUAAGGCACAAGGGCUCCAUAGACUAUGAUCUUCCUCACCUAAAAAAGAGGUCUUUUGAGAGGAGGGGGAUCCGCACGCGUAGGCUACCAUGCGAGCCCGAGGUUGUAGCUAUGGCGCUUGAGUAUGUCAAUUCCGAGCAGAUUUGA